UUUGGUUAAGUUAGAAAGGGCGCACGGUGGAUGCCUUGACACUAGGAGUCGAUGAAGGACGGGACUAACGCCGAUAUGCUUCGGGGAGCUGUAAGUAAG
Molecule: ribosomal RNA, 99 nt
Filed under: Bacillus thuringiensis
Lineage: Bacteria; Bacillati; Bacillota; Bacilli; Caryophanales; Bacillaceae
Also listed under: 1 other name
Description: partial 23S ribosomal RNA
Rfam family: Bacterial large subunit ribosomal RNA
Source: RNAcentral